This 201-nucleotide unclassified non-coding RNA is filed under the name Hevea brasiliensis (rubber tree). Lineage: Eukaryota; Viridiplantae; Streptophyta; Magnoliopsida; Malpighiales; Euphorbiaceae. The record is from RNAcentral.
UGAAGAACUGCGCUACGUAACAGAUUCUACCAUUAUGCUUCAACCAAACAUACCAUACUACUGCAAUCUGCCAAAAAAAAUGAUAGGUCAAAAACACAUAGCUUUCUUAAUUUGAUUGAUAUUUCUGAAUUGAUAUUUUGGUGCAUAAUUUUUUAUUGCAUAGGUUCCAUAGGUUCCUUUGAGUCUAAAUGUACAUUGAAA